RNAcentral lists this long non-coding RNA (826 nucleotides) under Mytilus galloprovincialis (Mediterranean mussel). The record is from RNAcentral. Lineage: Eukaryota; Metazoa; Mollusca; Bivalvia; Mytilida; Mytilidae.
GGCCAAGUACGAAGUUGAAGAGCAUUGAGGACCAAAAUUCCUUAACGUUUUGCCAAAUACAGCUAAGAAAUUACCUUUACAUUGUCUCGAUUUUUCCUGAUAAAAUCUCAAGAUCAAUUCAUCUGUCCCUGAUACAUAUUUAAAAAGUUUUCUAUAAAUGUUAUGUGGUGGUGAUACAUAUGUCCUACAAUUUUUUUUUAUGAUUAAAAAUUGAAUAGGAAUGCAAGAUCUAUCAAAUAGCUAGAAGCAGUGUGGGUUCAUAAGUGGAACAGGAUGAAGAGACACUAAUAGAUGUCGGCAUCAGAUGAGGGGUUUAAAGGGGGAAUAUAUAACAGCAAUAGGUCAUCAAAUAAGACAAAAUUGUUUCAAAAAGAAAAACAAAUAAUAUAACUUUAAAAAUAUACUUUAUUAAGAAAUUUUGAUGUACGAAAAAGCAGUAACUACUUCCAAAAUGUUUACAGCACAAAAACAUGCUUAACAAGUCUGGCAAAUAUUACCGUUAUAUGUACAGUGGCAAGCAAAUUUCACUCUAAAUGUUGGUGAGAAAAAUCCAAACCACUUGCUAGUACAGUACUGGAAACUUUUUACCAGAACAGAAUUUACACCUUGCUAUCAACUUUAAACUCUCAUCCAUUAAUUUACAUAAUGGCAUUCUUUCAUGGGGAAAAAGAUCAAUUUCUGUAAUUAAAGAUAAGCCUUUUUCCAAAAUAGAAUAAAUUUGAGAAAAAAAUCUAAAAUUUUAUUACUUUGCAAUAUAACAGAUUGUAAAAAUGGAAUUAUGCUUCUUUCCGAAUUAAAGAUUCUAAAAGCUUGAAUUUAAAAAAAA